Molecule: ribosomal RNA, 253 nt
Filed under: uncultured bacterium
Lineage: Bacteria
Description: partial 16S ribosomal RNA
Rfam family: Bacterial small subunit ribosomal RNA
Source: RNAcentral
UACGAAGGGUGCAAGCGUUACUCGGAAUUACUGGGCGUAAAGCGUGCGUAGGUGGUUUUUUAAGUCCGUUGUGAAAGCCCUGGGCUCAACCUGGGAAUGGCAGUGGAUACUGGAAAGCUAGAGUGCGGUAGAGGGUAGUGGAAUUCCCGGUGUAGCAGUGAAAUGCGUAGAGAUCGGGAGGAACACCAGUGGCGAAGGCGGCUACCUGGACCAGCACUGACACUGAGGCACGAAAGCGUGGGGAGCAAACGGG